This 76-nucleotide transfer RNA is filed under the name Lentisphaerota bacterium. RNAcentral describes it as "Lentisphaerae bacterium (feces metagenome) tRNA-Thr". It matches the Rfam family "tRNA". From Rfam's summary of the family: Transfer RNA (tRNA) molecules are approximately 80 nucleotides in length. The record is from RNAcentral. Lineage: Bacteria; Pseudomonadati; Lentisphaerota.
GCCAAUGUGGCUCAGUCGGUAGAGCAGCGCAUUCGUAAUGCGCAGGUCAUCGGUUCGAAUCCGAUCAUUGGCUCCA